Molecule: long non-coding RNA, 3052 nt
Filed under: Malus domestica (apple)
Lineage: Eukaryota; Viridiplantae; Streptophyta; Magnoliopsida; Rosales; Rosaceae
Description: long non-coding RNA (MDOM_LNC018966)
Source: RNAcentral
AGUAGCGCUUUUUUUUCUUCUUCAUAAAAUACUCCUAACAAAAACACUUAUGAAUCUUAAAUCAUUUUAGAUCGACAUUCUAAUUUAUAAAUCUUCGUCUCAUCUCUCCUAUGAGUUUGGUAAAAAGUAUGUGACCGUAUUUUUUGAAUUCCUAAUAUUUCAAAUAGUUAUUAUGUGAUUUUUUUUUCUUAAUGAACUAAAUAAAGGAGGCAAACACAGGGUGACCCAGUGGUUAGAGACGAAUUCUAGGCUCGUAUUCCACACAGUACGUCUUAGGUUCGAUUUCUGAUGCUGGUAAAUUACACGAUGGUGGUCAAAGAGAGGCUAAAAUGCCUCUGUGCAUCUUUCUAACCUUUGAAAAGUAGACUAACGAAACCAUUAGCUAAUCUCUUUAAAAUAAAAAAUAAAAAUAAAAACUAAAUAAAGGUGACAAGAUUUAGGUUUUUGUAUAUUUAUAUUGGCAAGAAUAAAUAAACUCCUCUAAGCCAAAUUAACCCUUGGGCUUUUGUCACGUAUCGUUGAGACGUUAUUUCAAAACAUCUGCAUGGCAGGUCAAUUAAAGCUUGGGCUGGCGGAUGGAAUUCAAUUCACUGAAAAUUGGUGGAGGCCCGAAUCAGUACGGGCUUGUGCAAGGCAUGUGCCCCUCUAGUUGUCAAAUUGGACCUAGGGUGUGCCCAUUUUUUGAGUCAUUGAUGAUCAAUGAGAUGUCAAAUCGGAAAUAUUUGUGAUUUGCCCCAUCAUCAAAUCAAAAGUUGAUUAUUGUAAGACCAUGAUUUUCCAAGACCGGAGUAAAGAGGAUCGGAAUACACGUACUUUAGAAGUUUGUCAUGAACUCGACAGCCUUAUUAUAGAGCUGACUAAGCAGAUUAGCAAUCCUGCCAUCAUCCUAUUCCAAAAUUAGUGGGGCGAAGUCCACCGACUUCGCUGAGAUAGAACAUGCUUGUUUCGCAAUAUUCGGGAACCUAAUCCAACAAGGAAUCAACAAGCUUUCUAUAAUCUUAGAGUCUUUAUAAUUGGCAUGCGCAGCAAGUAAUCACUCUUAAGAGAAUACAAUAUCUACUUCCUAGAUAUCUUGUGAGAUUUCUUGGUUUAAUAAGGAUUUUACUAUCCUAGAAAGCCAUCUCCUCGAAUGGUGUAAAUACACCUUUUUAGGAUUCAUCUAUGGUAGUUCAAUCUUUGCAUACUUAUUUCUUGCCUACUGCUUGAGUCUUAAUAUUACUUACUAACUUGACCGUCGAAGGGCAUUUGACCGACACACCCCGAUCCUUGGAUGUUUGUUCUUUUACAGGUUAACAAGUUUGGGCAUCUCCACCACACACAGCGGUGCACAAAUUUAUAUCCAACAUCUAUCAUUUUUAUCCAAAUCUGAACCGAUCCACAUUAGCCAUCUAGGCAAUUUUGGAGACAAUGAUAUUUAGGCGUGUUUGCUAACACAUUUUAAUACAGAUGAGUCUUACAUACAUUAGUAGAUUUUACUUUUAUUAAAAAACAUAUUAAUAAAUGUGUCAAUUUUAUAUGUACAAAUCUUAUUAUUGAGUGUUGGGAUGUCUUUUAAAUAUAGGAGCCUUCAUCGUAUGGUUGGUGAGCAAGGGGGAUUGGAGUGGAUUUUCCUUUCCACUACUAUCCCGACCUUUUUAUGAUAAACCAAAAAACACCCUUUUGAAAAGCUGUAUCACAAAACUCUACCUACACACUUUUGAAUAAGGACAUUUUAGUAAUCAACAUGAGUGUCUCACUCCCACUCAAGCAUACUCCUCUCGUUACUAAACAGCUGAGUAGGAAUUGCAUCACUCCCACCCCUGCUCACUCACUCAAAGUACGUAAACAUGCGUCAAAGUUAUUGGCUAAACAUUUGUUACUACUACUCCAUACGUGCAAAUUAAAGUGUUAAGGACUCUGUUAAAAAUGGUCAUAGCCACAUAAAACUAUUAAUAAACGAGAAUAAAAGUUAUAUCUUAUAUAACCGUAUCUACAAAAAUAGUUAAUUUAUGUGAGUUCAAACUAUAAAUCAUAAAACCUAUACAACACGACACAAAACCACAUCUAUUCUGAUUCGAAUGGAAUGAGCCUCAAUCCUCAAUCCUCAUCAACAUCAACUCUAACACGUACGUAGUCUGUGGGUGGACACGUGAUACAAACCCCUUGGACUAGAGAAAAGGUGACGGAUCAAAGGAACGAUAUAAAUCAUAGGUCGGUGGGUGAACGACUGUUGUAUCAUAUAUAUUAUUAAUUUACUAGUACAAGUCUUCCUGGAGAAGAUAUCAAGAUAUCAUUUAAUUACCAUUAUAAUUAUUAAUUAAUGUUAACCCCAGGUUGGGGUUGGCUGCUUGAAGAAAUCAUAAAUUAAUUAAUUAAUGUUAAUGAGGAGGAAAAGUGUGGUCAGCGUGAUGGUGAAAUGGUUGGGACUAAUCUUUGACCGUUUAAGGUGAGUGGUGUGUUGUGUUGGGGUUCGGAGGCACUGCCACCUGUUUGGGAUGGAUUUUAUUUUUUAAAACAAUAACGCGGACAGCUGGCUCGUCCUUCUUAAAAACGCGGUUUACAUUUUAUUUUAUUUAUAAAAAAAUGAUAUUAUUUGCUCCUUAAUAUUAAGUAUUCUUUUUUUAUUUGUAAGAAAUAUAUGUUAUGUUUGAUUUUCGUCAAAUACAAAUUUGAAUUAUAUUAUUACUAGUCUAUUAUAAGGCUUAGCUUACUCUCGACCUCCAAUUAAUAUAAAUAAUAUAUCACGUAUCACGUGUAUAUAUGGGUAUUGGAGGCUUUUGCGGGAUGAUAUUUCUAUUUUUUUAAAAUGGGGAUUAGUUGUAAGGUUCACACAUCGAAUUUCAACGAUCUGAACCGUCUACUUUUUAAGUUGCACUUCAUAGAUUAUCAUCCCAAAAUAGUAGCAAACAAAUAUUAGCCAAAUCGGAAAUAUUUGAGACAUCUGAUUUAGUUCAAAGCAAUUGACGAACGCUUUGUUCUAUAAGAAACAAUAAAAAUUCAUCGUGAUAAUUAAAUAAGCAAAUAGUUUUGAAUUGAAUUGAAUUAUUUCAAAGGUGAUCUAUGAAUUGAGACU